AGCAUGUGCACACUUUUUCAUCUUCAAAUUCUACACCUGUGCACUUAUUGUAGGCUGAGAAAUCAGUCUAUGUAUUUUUAUUACACCCCUUAUAAAAAGUUUCGAAUGUCAUAUAUAUGGAUGCGCCUUAAAAAAGCGAGUCCUUUAAACCUAUACAACUUUCAACAACGGAUCUCUUGGCUCUCGCAUCGAUGAAGAACGCAGCGAAAUGCGAUAAGUAAUGUGAAUUGCAGAAUUCAGUGAAUCAUCGAAUCUUUGAACGCACCUUGCGCCUCUUGGUAUUCCGAGAGGCAUGCCUGUUUGAGUGUCAUUAAAUUAUCAACUUUUCAAGGUUUUUCUGAAAGACCUUUGUCAAGCUUGGACUUGGAGUGUGCCGGCCCCAUCAUUGGAGUCGGCUCCUCUUUAAAUGCAUUAGCGACACCUUUUAUGUGGAUCAGCUCUGGCGUGAUAAUUAUCUAUGUCGU
This 464-nucleotide ribosomal RNA is filed under the name Arrhenia epichysium. RNAcentral's name for it is "eukaryotic LSU rRNA". The stretch from base 157 to 310 matches the Rfam family "5.8S ribosomal RNA". Lineage: Eukaryota; Fungi; Basidiomycota; Agaricomycetes; Agaricales; Hygrophoraceae. The record is from RNAcentral.